This 248-nucleotide long non-coding RNA is filed under the name Arabidopsis lyrata. RNAcentral's name for it is "long non-coding RNA (ALYR_LNC000034)". Lineage: Eukaryota; Viridiplantae; Streptophyta; Magnoliopsida; Brassicales; Brassicaceae. The record is from RNAcentral.
AAGAACUUUAUUAGAAACUUAAUUUUAUUUCAUUUUAGAGCAUGGGAUGUGCUUAUAUAAGCAAUGCAAUUACAAGAAAUACAAUUACAUAAAAAGGUAAAAUUGAAACCAUCAAAAUUUCUUCGGGAGAAAAUUCUCCAAAGAGUAAACCGUAAAUUGCAAUAAUUAUAAAUCCUAUUACAAAAACUAAAAACGGAUGAGUCAUUUUCCUAAAUGAAAACUUAAACAAAUUUCUUAGAAAAAUAUAU